This 517-nucleotide ribosomal RNA is filed under the name uncultured Staphylococcus sp. RNAcentral's name for it is "bacterial SSU rRNA". It matches the Rfam family "Bacterial small subunit ribosomal RNA", at positions 8 to 507 of the family's 1533-position model. The record is from RNAcentral. Lineage: Bacteria; Bacillati; Bacillota; Bacilli; Caryophanales; Staphylococcaceae.
AGAGUUUGAUCCUGGCUCAGGAUGAACGCUGGCGGCGUGCCUAAUACAUGCAAGUCGAGCGAACAGAUAAGGAGCUUGCUCCUUUGACGUUAGCGGCGGACGGGUGAGUAACACGUGGGUAACCUACCUAUAAGACUGGAAUAACUCCGGGAAACCGGGGCUAAUGCCGGAUAAUAUUUAGAACCGCAUGGUUCUAAAGUGAAAGAUGGUUUUGCUAUCACUUAUAGAUGGACCCGCGCCGUAUUAGCUAGUUGGUGGGGUAAUGGCUUACCAAGGCAACGAUACGUAGCCGACCUGAGAGGGUGAUCGGCCACACUGGAACUGAGACACGGUCCAGACUCCUACGGGAGGCAGCAGUAGGGAAUCUUCCGCAAUGGGCGAAAGCCUGACGGAGCAACGCCGCGUGAGUGAUGAAGGUCUUCGGAUCGUAAAACCCUGUUAUUAGGGAAGAACAAAUGUGUAAGUAACUGUGCACGUCUUGACGGUACCUAAUCAGAAAGCCACGGCUAACUACGUG